This is a long non-coding RNA of Eriocheir sinensis (Chinese mitten crab), 1096 nucleotides long. RefSeq lists it as uncharacterized. The record is from RefSeq and is a predicted model, not a curated record. Lineage: Eukaryota; Metazoa; Arthropoda; Malacostraca; Decapoda; Varunidae. The transcript has 2 exons.
CUCCCUAUCUUCCCUAAAAUCUGCUAAAGCGUCGACAGUUUCAGGAGUCUCGGGGUCAAAAGCAGUGCCUCGUUGCUGAAAGUUGUUGAUCUGCUUCCUUUUAAUUACUGCGGAAGAACGGCGAUUAUUUAUAACGGAAUUAAAAUACCAUUAACUUUAUUCUGAUACUGGAGGCCUGCCAAGGAAAUCUCAGGUCUCCAGCAGGCCUAACCUGCGGGUACUUUUGGCACUCCGUGGCGAGCUCACUCUUAUACGAGGCAUCGCCCCACACAGGUGAGGACACAGCCGCUCCCAGUGUUCAAUAUACCUUGGCCAUAACAUUGUAUUUGAGGACUCUUAUAGGAGGCUUUGCCCCACACAGGUGAGGACACAGCCGCUCCCAGUGUUCAAUAUACCUUGGCCAUAACAUUGUAUUUGAGGACUCUUAUACGAGGCAUUGCCCCACACAGGUGAGGACACAGCCGCUCCCAGUGUUCAAUAUACCUUGGCCAUAACAUUGUAUUUGAGGACUCUUAUAGGAGGCUUUGCCCCACACAGAGGUGUUGAAGCAAGCCUGAGUGACGGCAGGCUGGCGGGCUGCCGUCGGGACCCAAGCCAGCUUGUUGUGCGCAGCAGAGUGUGCGGGAGGAGGAAAGAGGGGAAAGGUGUGUGUGUCAUUCUCAGGGGUGACCACGGUGGAGCGCAGACACUCACUAGUUGUGGUCGAGGCUUAAUUAAGUUGAUGAGUGGUGUUAAGACCGAGUGAGCAGGUUACCUGUCACCCCGUGUCAGUGGGAACACUUGCCAUGUUUUCUUGGUGCGUUGGUGCUACUCAUUCUUGUGUUUACAGGUUAGUUCAGACUGAUAGUUUGUCCAGUGUGUUUGCGGUGAUUCACAAGUAAUUAGACUAAGCUCCAAGUGUUACGAGUGACACAGUUUAGUCUCACAAGGCUGGACCCUGUCCCUUGACCCUUAGUUCACCAUCAGAAUCCCUUAACAAAUAUAUUUACCUCAAGUAAUGUUCUUAAAGUCUCGCUGCCCAUAUUAUUUGGCAGAUGAUGAUCCUGUGUGCGAUAACGGUGCCUUACAAGACUUGCUAAAUAAACUACUAACUUUA